This 361-nucleotide long non-coding RNA is filed under the name Helianthus annuus (common sunflower). RNAcentral describes it as "hypothetical non coding rna". The record is from RNAcentral. Lineage: Eukaryota; Viridiplantae; Streptophyta; Magnoliopsida; Asterales; Asteraceae.
UGUAGCUUUACCGAUGACAAAAUCAAAAGAAAAAAACACCAACGUUUACAAAUUCAGGUGGUUUUGAGUAAGCAUUGGUCGGAACCCUAACCUCAUCGCACAACCCCCACCCGCACCCCCACCACCAUCAUCAUCCAAACACCCACUCUGUAUCAGGGCCCUUCGUCAUUGAACCCUAAUCGUCGCCUUCCGAUUCCACUGGAGAUUCGAGUUCACGGCAGAUCUAACAUGCGUCUCUUUGACGUGCAUUCGGCAUUGGUUGAUCUGGUGGUUGUGGUGGUGUCGUGUGGUUGUUGUUGGUGGCAGUUUGGUGUGGUUGUGUUAAUCAAUCUUUGAUCAAUUCAUCUUGAUCUUGCAUCUU